UACAGAGGUCUCAAGCGUUGUUCGGAUUCAUUGGGCGUAAAGGGUGCGUAGGUGGCGCCGUAAGUCAGGUGUGAAAUUUCGGAGCUUAACUCCGAAACUGCAUUUGAUACUGCGGUGCUUGAGGACUGGAGAGGAGACUGGAAUUCACGGUGUAGCAGUGAAAUGCGUAGAUAUCGUGAGGAAGACCAGUGGCGAAGGCGGGUCUCUGGGCAUCUCCUGACGCUGAGGCGCGAAAGCGUGGGGAGCAAACGGG
RNAcentral lists this ribosomal RNA (253 nucleotides) under uncultured prokaryote. RNAcentral describes it as "partial 16S ribosomal RNA". It matches the Rfam family "Bacterial small subunit ribosomal RNA", at positions 524 to 776 of the family's 1533-position model. The record is from RNAcentral.